This is a long non-coding RNA of Carassius gibelio (silver crucian carp), 1530 nucleotides long. RefSeq lists it as uncharacterized. The transcript is spliced from 3 exons. Lineage: Eukaryota; Metazoa; Chordata; Actinopteri; Cypriniformes; Cyprinidae. The record is from RefSeq and is a predicted model, not a curated record.
GCACUCUCUGCUGUAUGGUUGGUGCUUAAAACAACACAAUUAAGAAAUAGCAAAAUGUGGCCAUCAUACUUUAAAAAACUAACUCUAUACACUCUUUAUAAAUGCACACACACUUUUAUAUCAUGCAGCAAGUCAUAACAUUUACCCAGAACUCCCUGGUGGACUAUAUUGUUGAUGCAGUGUGUUGUGAAGUUCACACAUGCAUCACUACUUUGCACUUACACAACGGUUGCUCAGCUAAAGCUGUUGUGUGAUGAAUAGGCUCAGCGCUCGAAGAGUAAAUAUGCUCUUGUUGCAGAGUGAUGCAUAAAGGAUCACCUCUGGAUCGUCAACGCUGAAAUAUCAACAUUACGUCAGCACUGCACCUAAUGAAGUGUGGGAUCUCCAGGUUAUUACUGUGGGUGCAAAAGUUUAAAGAUCAUGAACCAGAGCAGAGAUGACAAAUAAGGAUGUCACUGUGGCUAAAAACCAAAAAAAAAAACUAACUAAAAGUGGAAGACAAAAGGGUAACUCUUGAAGAACUCUCAAACUGCUUGCUUGCUUAAAAAUUAGAUGGGGACCAGGGUGCAUCAUUAAAAUGGUCUGUACAACUUCUGUUCUACAUCAUCUUCUCAAGCCACAGAUCAAAACUCAUUACUCAUCGAAAAAACAUACUUUUCUUAUGACUAAGAGUGCAACUUGAACAUAUUACUACUAAUAUCUCCUAUUUUGUUCUAUGACAGAAAGUAAGUUAUAUGGGCUUUGACACAAUGGAACGUAAAAUAUGUCAGAAUUUUCAUUGUUAGGUGAACUACACCUUUUUAAAAAAUGUUAUGAAUGGACAGUCUAACAAACAACUCUUGAAAGGAUGGAACAAUUAUUGAAAAAACAAAAAGGUAUUUUUCACAGCUUUAAAGGAAUGUUGAAGAACAUUUUCAGUUAUUUUGGAACCUUACACUCUAAAAAACGCUGGGUUGUUUUUUCAACCCAACUGCUGGGUUGAGGCCGUUGGAUAGGACUUUGGGAUGUUUUAACCCAAGUUUGGGUUGAAAAUAACUUUCUUUUUUAACCCAGCGGGGUGGGUUGAGGACGCGGACGUGAAGGAGAGCACGCACGUCACGUCAAAAUCGUACGUCUCCAGUGCGAGCAGCCGCCAUUUUCUCAGCGUGAUAGAAGCGAGAAGCGAGUGAAAAACUAUGACUUGUCCAGCUCCUGUCUUCAUUGUCCUCGCGCUGAGAGUUAAAGACACAGAAGCUGUUUGUGUGAGGAGUCUCAGACCUGUGUGAGGAUGAGGAGGAGGUGUUCUUCUGAAGAGAGGGACAGACGGUUUAAGGAGAGUAAACUUCAGAAUAACAUCAAGUUAUCUUUAUUUUUACUAAGACUAAAAUAAUGUGUGUGUUUUUUUUUAGAUGUUGAAAUCCAGAGACAAGAUAACUUCAUUCUUUUGAGACUGAUAACUCAAACUAACUGGAGUUAAGGACACACAAGUAUGCUUGUGUGAGGAGGUGGUUUUCUCAGCUUCUUCUGAAGAGAGGGAAAGAUCGUUUAAGG